RNAcentral lists this ribosomal RNA (468 nucleotides) under uncultured bacterium. Its description in RNAcentral is "partial 16S ribosomal RNA". It matches the Rfam family "Bacterial small subunit ribosomal RNA", at positions 28 to 507 of the family's 1533-position model. The record is from RNAcentral.
GACGAACGCUGGCGGCGCGCCUAACACAUGCAAGUCGAACGGAGUCAAGAGGAGCUUGCUUUUCUUGACUUAGUGGCGAACGGGUGAGUAACGCGUGAGUAACCUGCCCUGGAGUGGGGGACAACAGUUGGAAACGACUGCUAAUACCGCAUAAGCCCACGGAUCUGCAUGGAUCUGCGGGAAAAGGAUUUAUUCGCUCUAGGAUGGACUCGCGUCCAAUUAGCUAGUUGGUGAGGUAACGGCCCACCAAGGCGACGAUUGGUAGCCGGACUGAGAGGUUGGACGGCCACAUUGGGACUGAGACACGGCCCAGACUCCUACGGGAGGCAGCAGUGGGGGAUAUUGCACAAUGGGGGAAACCCUGAUGCAGCGACGCCGCGUGGAGGAAGAAGGUUUUCGGAUUGUAAACUCCUGUCGUUAGGGACGAUAAUGACGGUACCUAACAAGAAAGCACCAGCUAACUACGUG